This 209-nucleotide ribosomal RNA is filed under the name uncultured bacterium. RNAcentral describes it as "partial 16S ribosomal RNA". It matches the Rfam family "Bacterial small subunit ribosomal RNA", at positions 1290 to 1500 of the family's 1533-position model. The record is from RNAcentral.
AGUUCGGAUUGCAGGCUGCAACCCGCCUGCAUGAAGUUGGAAUCGCUAGUAAUCGCGGAUCAGCAUGCCGCGGUGAAUACGUUCCCAGGCCUUGUACACACCGCCCGUCACACCAUGAGAGUCGGGAACACCCGAAGUCCGUAGCCUGACCGCAAGGGGGCGCGGCCGAAGGUGGGUUCGAUAAUUGGGUGAAGUCGUAACAAGGUACC